Molecule: ribosomal RNA, 510 nt
Filed under: Thauera sp. ES-dyl8
Lineage: Bacteria; Pseudomonadati; Pseudomonadota; Betaproteobacteria; Rhodocyclales; Zoogloeaceae
Description: bacterial SSU rRNA
Rfam family: Bacterial small subunit ribosomal RNA
Source: RNAcentral
ACGCGGCGAAAGUCGCGCUAAUACCGCAUACGCCCUGAGGGGGAAAGCGGGGGAUUCUUCGGAACCUCGCGCAAUUGGAGCGGCCGAUGUCAGAUUAGCUAGUUGGUAGGGUAAAGGCCUACCAAGGCGACGAUCUGUAGCGGGUCUGAGAGGAUGAUCCGCCACACUGGGACUGAGACACGGCCCAGACUCCUACGGGAGGCAGCAGUGGGGAAUUUUGGACAAUGGGGGCAACCCUGAUCCAGCCAUGCCGCGUGAGUGAAGAAGGCCUUCGGGUUGUAAAGCUCUUUCGGCCGGGAAGAAAUCGGCGACUCUAACAUAGUCGCUGGAUGACGGUACCGGACUAAGAAGCACCGGCUAACUACGUGCCAGCAGCCGCGGUAAUACGUAGGGUGCGAGCGUUAAUCGGAAUUACUGGGCGUAAAGCGUGCGCAGGCGGUUUUGUAAGACAGAUGUGAAAUCCCCGGGCUUAACCUGGGAACUGCGUUUGUGACUGCAAGGCUAGAGUAC